Molecule: small RNA, 48 nt
Filed under: Arabidopsis thaliana (thale cress)
Lineage: Eukaryota; Viridiplantae; Streptophyta; Magnoliopsida; Brassicales; Brassicaceae
Description: ATSL012700
Source: RNAcentral
GCUUUGUAGCUUUGAGACUUUGAAGAAUCUUGAAGCUAACAAAGGUGA